RNAcentral lists this small RNA (132 nucleotides) under Salmonella enterica subsp. enterica serovar Gallinarum. Its description in RNAcentral is "RtT sRNA". It matches the Rfam family "RtT RNA". Rfam says of the family: This family represents a bacterial cis-regulatory element known as RtT RNA. The exact function of RtT is unknown although it is thought that it may be involved in changing the cellular response in relation to amino acid starvation. The record is from RNAcentral. Lineage: Bacteria; Pseudomonadati; Pseudomonadota; Gammaproteobacteria; Enterobacterales; Enterobacteriaceae. RNAcentral also lists the same sequence under 12 other names.
AUAUCUCUCCGUACGGGAAGGAUGAGAAGCUUCGACUAAGGUUCGAUUCGAGCGAAAGCGAGAAAGCGUUGCCGCAGGCAACGACCCGAAGGGCGAAACGCGCAGCGCUGAGUCAUCCUUCCCCCACCACCA